UACGAAGGGGGCGAGCGUUGUUCGGAAUCACUGGGCGUAAAGGGCGCGUAGGCGGCCCUCCUAGUCGCGUGUGAAAGCCCCGGGCUCAACCUGGGAACGGCGCGCGAAACGGGGGGGCUGGAGGACUGGAGAGGAGACUGGAAUUUACGGUGUAGCGGUGAAAUGCGUAGAUAUCGUAAGGAAGACCAGUGGCGAAGGCGGGUCUCUGGACAGUUCCUGACGCUGAGGCACGAAGGCCAGGGGAGCAAACGGG
This 253-nucleotide ribosomal RNA is filed under the name uncultured bacterium. RNAcentral's name for it is "partial 16S ribosomal RNA". It matches the Rfam family "Bacterial small subunit ribosomal RNA", at positions 524 to 776 of the family's 1533-position model. The record is from RNAcentral.